GAAAUGCGAUAAGUAAUGUGAAUUGCAGAAUUCAGUGAAUCAUCGAAUCUUUGAACGCACAUUGCGCCCCUUGGUAUUCCGAGGGGCAUGCCUGUUCGAGCGUCAUUACACCACUCAAGCCUGGCUUGGUAUUGGGCCCCGGGGGCGACCCGGACCCGAAUGUCCGCGGCUGGACGACCCAGAUCUCAGCGUUGUGCAUCAAUUCGCUGGCGAGACGGGCGGCCACGCCGGUAAACUCCAUCAAAGGUUGACCUCGGAUCAGGUAGGGAUACCCGCUGAACUUAA
RNAcentral lists this unclassified non-coding RNA (285 nucleotides) under uncultured Ascomycota. RNAcentral's name for it is "sequence contains ITS1". The stretch from base 1 to 105 matches the Rfam family "5.8S ribosomal RNA", at positions 50 to 154 of the family's 154-position model. Lineage: Eukaryota; Fungi; Ascomycota. The record is from RNAcentral.